GGAAAAGGAAGAGAAGUCACUAUUCUUUGGAGGGAACUGCAGCCAGAUUCAUGAACAGAAGAGUGGCUCACAGUAACUUCUUGGUGAGUCCUAGAGAAUUACUUGGUUCACUGCUGACAACAAAGAGAUACAAACUUCUCAGGAAUUUUUAAGAAUAGAAACAGUGUUCCAGAGAGCUCUCCAAACUUUCUGCUCCUCAGAAGUGUAAAAUGAAGUACUUAACAAAGUACCUUAGCUGCAUUCACGGAAUCGGGUAAUGAGAAAAGAGGAGAUCUCUCCAGCAAGAUUUGUGGGGCUUAGCAUUCCAUGUUCUCCCAACAUCUUUCAUCACUAAAGCUCUGGAGAAGAAAAACAUAUCAGGAAGAUUCCAAGUACUUGCCACUCUCUGGGUGAGAUUAACUACCUUGAGGAACAUGAAGAAGACAUCUUUCGCAAUAUUUUUUUCCUACAGUUUUGAAGGGCAGG
Molecule: long non-coding RNA, 465 nt
Filed under: Cercocebus atys (sooty mangabey)
Lineage: Eukaryota; Metazoa; Chordata; Mammalia; Primates; Cercopithecidae
Description: lncRNA (ENSCATG00000045510.1)
Source: RNAcentral